CACGGUGGUUCUCCUAUUAGGGUUUCUGAGGCCGUCAACAUGACGACAAUGAUUAAGGGUUUUGUUUGCAAUAAUCCGACAUUUCCAUCCUUGUUUAAUCAACGUUGUUCUUCUCGACCAUCUAUCAUGAAUGCUUCACUCCAAAUACCUCCUGGCAUUGAUCACCGCGGUGGUCCUUUAAGGUUGAGCAGGGGCUUACUUCCGAUCCUUAACCCCCACAAACAACAUGCCACUACACCUGUGACAUUCCAACGUCGAUGCGCUAAGGACAAUUUUCCUGUACAAAUUGAAAAUGGUA
Molecule: long non-coding RNA, 298 nt
Organism: Erigeron canadensis
Lineage: Eukaryota; Viridiplantae; Streptophyta; Magnoliopsida; Asterales; Asteraceae
Exons: 3
Source: RefSeq, a predicted model, not a curated record